This 432-nucleotide ribosomal RNA is filed under the name uncultured bacterium. RNAcentral describes it as "partial 16S ribosomal RNA". It matches the Rfam family "Bacterial small subunit ribosomal RNA", at positions 29 to 507 of the family's 1533-position model. The record is from RNAcentral.
ACGAACGCUGGCGGCAUGCCUAACACCUGCAAGUCGAACGAGACCUUCGGGUCUAGUGGCGCACGGAUGCGUAACGCGUGGGAACCUGCCCUUAGGUUCGGAAUAACUCCCCGAAAGGGGUGCUAAUACCGGAUAAUGUCUUCGGACCAAAGAUUUAUCGCCUUUGGAUGGGCCCGCGUUGGAUUAGCUAGUUGGUAGGGUAAAAGCCUACCAAGGCGACGAUCCAUAGCUGGUCUGAGAGGAUGAUCAGCCACACUGGGACUGAGACACGGCCCAGACUCCUACGGGAGGCAGCAGUGGGGAAUAUUGGACAAUGGGCGAAAGCCUGAUCCAGCAAUGCCGCGUGAGUGAUGAAGGCCUUAGGGUUGUAAAGCUCUUUUACCCGGGAUGAUAAUGACAGUACCGGGAGAAUAAGCUCCGGCUAACUCCGUG